Long non-coding RNA from Pocillopora damicornis (cauliflower coral), 749 nucleotides. NCBI's taxonomy places the organism in Eukaryota, Metazoa, Cnidaria, Anthozoa, Scleractinia, Pocilloporidae. The record is from RefSeq and is a predicted model, not a curated record.
AUAAGCCUCCUCGCCAGGAACAAUGAAUGUAGGAAAAAUUUAUAUAUAUAAAUAGAACACAGUUACUGAAAACUUAAUAUGCUUUAUCAGUUGGUGGGCAGAGCGGUCAUCUAUUGGAAAAAAUUAAAAUUUGUUUCAAUAUUCUCAAACCGAACAAACUAUCAUUUUUGUAACACUUUAUUACGCAUUUAUCCGGUGGAGGUGACAUUACUUAUUGAUAACUAUCACAGCAACAUUUCCUUGUAAGCAUUCUUCAUGGCGUUUCUUUACUACAGCUUCCAGCGAAUGCACCUGAUAUACUGUCUGCUGAAAUGAGUGGGAUACCUGAAAUUCUCGGUAACGUGCAGGAUACUACGGGAAUCCCCCAUCCAAAUGAUGGAGGUUUCAGCCAGAGAUCAAGAGACAGGGACAUGAGGAGAAAAGUUUUGUUAGAGGCCGUAAAGAUAAGAGAAUGGAUAUUAGUUUAGGAAACCGAAGAAUAAAAGCAAGAUAUAGAAGUAAUCGAGUUUUCUAUGAUGGGUUACUAUGAUAGGUUACUAUAAGGAUUUUCUGGUCAAAACUAAGUUUGAGCUAUUUAUAUAUAAUAUUUUUAAAAAAUAGGCUCUAUCAAAAUUUAUGUCAAUGAAAAGAGUUUUACCCAGAUCAUGAGCUAUGUUAGAAUGAGAAGACUUCUCAUGGCGGCGGGAACAUCUCAUUAAGAUGGAAUUCUUUUCAAUCCCCAAAUGUUUAAUAAAAAGCUAUUGUUUACC